RNAcentral lists this ribosomal RNA (881 nucleotides) under uncultured bacterium. RNAcentral's name for it is "bacterial SSU rRNA". It matches the Rfam family "Bacterial small subunit ribosomal RNA", at positions 58 to 916 of the family's 1533-position model. The record is from RNAcentral.
CAAGUCGAACGGGAUUUUUUCCUGUAGCAAUACAGGAAAAAGUCUAGUGGCGAACGGGUGCGUAACACGUGAGCAACCUGCCGUGAAGUGGGGGAUAGCUCGCCGAAAGGCGAAUUAAUACCGCAUGUGGCCAAGGAAGACAUCUUCCUGACGCCAAAGCCGGGGCAACCUGGCGCUUCUCGAGGGGCUCGCGGCCUAUCAGCUUGUUGGUGAGGUAACGGCUCACCAAGGCUAUGACGGGUAGCUGGUCUGAGAGGACGACCAGCCACACUGGAACUGAGACACGGUCCAGACACCUACGGGUGGCAGCAGUCGAGAACUUUUCACAAUGGGGGAAACCCUGAUGGAGCGACGCCGCGUGGAGGAUGAAGGUUUUCGGAUUGUAAACUCCUGUCAUUAGAGAACAAGGCACACAGUUUAACUGGCCGUGUGUUGAUAGUAUCUGAAGAGGAAGAGACGGCUAACUCUGUGCCAGCAGCCGCGGUAAUACAGAGGUCUCAAGCGUUGUUCGGAUUCAUUGGGCGUAAAGGGUGCGUAGGUGGCGAUGUAAGUCGGAUGUGAAAUCUCCAAGCUUAACUUGGAAACUGCAUUCGAUACUGCGUUGCUAGAGGACUGUAGAGGGCAUUGGAAUUCACGGUGUAGCAGUGAAAUGCGUAGAUAUCGUGAGGAAGACCAGUGGCGAAGGCGAAUGCCUGGGCAGUUCCUGACACUGAGGCACGAAGGCCAGGGGAGCAAACGGGAUUAGAUACCCCGGUAGUCCUGGCAGUAAACGGUGCACGUUUGGUGUGGGAGGAUUCGACCCCUUCCGUGCCGGAGCAAACGCGUUAAACGUGCCGCCUGGGGAGUACGGUCGCAAGAUUAAAACUCAAAGAAAUUGACGG